RNAcentral lists this ribosomal RNA (651 nucleotides) under uncultured archaeon. RNAcentral's name for it is "bacterial SSU rRNA". It matches the Rfam family "Archaeal small subunit ribosomal RNA", at positions 1 to 643 of the family's 1478-position model. The record is from RNAcentral.
AAUUCACUAGUGAUUUUCCGGUUGAUCCUGCCGGAGGUCACUGCUAUCGGGGUUCGAUUAAGCCAUGCGAGUUGAGAGGGUUUAGACCCUCGGCGGACUGCUCAGUAACACGUGGAUAACCUGCCCUAAGGUGGAGGAUAACCCCGGGAAACUGGGGAUAAUACUCCAUAGACCAGAGUGACUGGAAUGUUUUCUGGUCGAAAGUUCCGGCGCCUUAGGAUGGAUCUGCGGCCGAUUAGGUAGUUGUUGGGGUAACGGCCCAACAAGCCAGUCAUCGGUACGGGUUGUGGGAGCAAGAGCCCGGAGAUGGAAUCUGAGACACGAUUCCAGGCCCUACGGGGCGCAGCAGGCGCGAAAACUUUACAAUGCAGGAAACUGUGAUAAGGGAACCCCGAGUGCUCGUACACGCGAGCUGUCCAGGUGUGUAAAAAGCAUCUGAAGAAAGGGCCGGGCAAGACCGGUGCCAGCCGCCGCGGUAAUACCGGCGGCUCGAGUGGUGGCCACUAUUAUUGGGCUUAAAGCGUUCGUAGCUGGACUCUUAAGUCUCCUGGGAAAUCCGCCGGCUCAACCGGCGGGCGUCCAGGAGAUACUGGGAGUCUUGGAACCGGAUAGAGGUAAGAGGUACUUCGGGGUUACGGAGUGAAAUCCUGU